This 1007-nucleotide long non-coding RNA is filed under the name Homo sapiens (human). RNAcentral's name for it is "non-protein coding lnc-BRF1-7:1". The record is from RNAcentral. Lineage: Eukaryota; Metazoa; Chordata; Mammalia; Primates; Hominidae.
GUCUACAAGUUUGUGUCCUAUCCUGAGGUCGCAGGGUGCUCCACUGAGUGAGGACUGCCCGCCCCACCCAGAGGUGUCGGUUACUUCACCAUGGCAGUUGUGGCCCCUGCUGCUGCACAUGCCGCCCCAGGGGGCACUGCCUCAGGAAAGCCAGGCACACCCAAGGGUGCAGGAAUGGCAGGCCCUGGCGGUUUGGCGCGCAACAGCCGGAACAAGUACAUGCGCUCGGGCCUCUGUUCCACCUUCACCAUCCAGUCUCUGCAGCCGCAGCCACCCCCUCAGCCUCGGCCUGCAGCGGUGCUCCCCAACGCAGCUCCUGCAGUCCAAGCCCCUGGGAGGCCUGCCUGGAGGCUGAGGAAGCCGGCUUCCCUCUGCAGGUCAUCCUGACCCCGCCCGAGGCCCCAAACCCGAAACUGGAAGAGCCGAAUGUGGAGCCGGGCUUGCGCCGCCCUUUGCCCCCGGAAGUGGAAGUGGAAGGGCCCGAGGAAGAGCUGGAAUUCGCGGGGGAGAGAGGGUUCGUGCCAGAAACCGCCAAGGCCGAGCCUGAAGUCCCUCCACAGGAGGGCGUGCCAGCGUGGCUGCCGAGGUCCUUAUGGACACCGCAGGGCAGGCGGGCGGCCACGCGGCUUCCAGCCCUCAGAUCUCCCAGCCGCAGAAGGGCCGGAAGCCCCGGGACCUAGAGCUUCCACUCAGCCCGAGCCUGCUAGGUGCGCCGGGACCCGAACGGACCCCAGGAUCGGGAACUGGCUCCGGCCUCCAGGCGCCGAGGCCGGCGCUGACCCUGUCCCUGCUUCCUACGCACACGUUGACCCCGGCGCUGCUGACACCCAGCUCGCUGCCUCCCAGCGUUCACUUCCGGAGCAGCCUGAGUCCCGCUGCGCCCCGCAGCCCGGCCAAGCUCUCCUGCCAGCUUCCGUCCAGUGGCGGCGCCCAGGUGCACAUCCCUUCCAUCGGCGUGGCUGGCCUCUCGACCCCCGCGGUGCUCUCGCCAGGGCCGCAGAGGCCAU